This 200-nucleotide long non-coding RNA is filed under the name Elaeis guineensis (African oil palm). Its description in RNAcentral is "long non-coding RNA (EGUI_LNC015341)". Lineage: Eukaryota; Viridiplantae; Streptophyta; Magnoliopsida; Arecales; Arecaceae. The record is from RNAcentral.
CCAGGUGAUAAAUCCAAUUAGAGUACUUGGCUAUUUAGAAAUUAACUAGAUCUAAUCUACUACAUAUCAUAUAUGUAAAAUCUAGUUCUAUACAUAUCACAUAUAUAAGAACUACAUUAGAUCUAGCUAACACAUACUGAAAAAUAAAUCUAAACUACUUUAGAUCUACUGACUACAUUAGAUCUCAUCUGAUCAGAUCU